AGAGUUUGAUCAUGGCUCAGAGCGAACGCUGGCGGCAGGCCUAACACAUGCAAGUCGAACGGACCCUUCGGGGUUAGUGGCGGACGGGUGAGUAACACGUGGGAACGUGCCUUUAGGUUCGGAAUAGCUCCUGGAAACGGGUGGUAAUGCCGAACGUGCCCUUCGGGGGAAAGAUUUAUCGCCUUUAGAGCGGCCCGCGUCUGAUUAGCUAGUUGGUGAGGUAACGGCUCACCAAGGCGACGAUCAGUAGCUGGUCUGAGAGGAUGACCAGCCACACUGGGACUGAGACACGGCCCAGACUCCUACGGGAGGCAGCAGUGGGGAAUCUUGCGCAAUGGGCGAAAGCCUGACGCAGCCAUGCCGCGUGAAUGAUGAAGGUCUUAGGAUUGUAAAAUUCUUUCACCGGGGACGAUAAUGACGGUACCCGGAGAAGAAGCCCCGGCUAACUUCGUGCCAGCAGCCGCGGUAAUACGAAGGGGGCUAGCGUUGCUCGGAAUUACUGGGCGUAAAGGGCGCGUAGGCGGAUCGUUAAGUCAGAGGUGAAAUCCCAGGGCUCAACCCUGGAACUGCCUUUGAUACUGGCGAUCUUGAGUAUGAGAGAGGUAUGUGGAACUCCGAGUGUAGAGGUGAAAUUCGUAGAUAUUCGGAAGAACACCAGUGGCG
Molecule: ribosomal RNA, 663 nt
Filed under: uncultured bacterium
Lineage: Bacteria
Description: bacterial SSU rRNA
Rfam family: Bacterial small subunit ribosomal RNA
Source: RNAcentral